This 253-nucleotide ribosomal RNA is filed under the name uncultured bacterium. Its description in RNAcentral is "partial 16S ribosomal RNA". It matches the Rfam family "Bacterial small subunit ribosomal RNA", at positions 524 to 776 of the family's 1533-position model. The record is from RNAcentral.
UACGAAGGGGGCUAGCGUUGCUCGGAAUCACUGGGCGUAAAGGGUGCGUAGGCGGGUCUUUAAGUCAGAGGUGAAAUCCUGGAGCUCAACUCCAGAACUGCCUUUGAUACUGAAGAUCUUGAGUCCGGGAGAGGUGAGUGGAACUGCGAGUGUAGAGGUGAAAUUCGUAGAUAUUCGCAAGAACACCAGUGGCGAAGGCGGCUCACUGGCCCGGUACUGACGCUGAGGUGCGAAAGCGUGGGGAGCAAACAGG